GCCGUGUGAUCCGUGGACAGAGGAAGGGCGCCGGGUCUGUGUUCCGCGCGCACGUGAAGCACCGUAAAGGCGCCGCGCGCCUGCGCGCCGUGGAUUUCGCUGAGCGGCACGGCUACAUCAAGGGCAUCGUCAAGGUGCGGAACGCUGGCCGGGGCGGGAGGGAAAGGGACGCCCGGCCGGAACGCCGCACUCACGCCGCCUCUGCCCACAGGACAUCAUCCACGACCCGGGCCGCGGCGCGCCCCUCGCCAAGGUGGUCUUCCGGGAUCCGUACCGGUUAUCUCCUCAGCCAACAGAGCUGUGGUUGGUGUGGUGGCUGGAGGCGGCCGAAUUGACAAACCCAUCUUGAAGGCUGGCCGGGCGUACCACAAAUAUAAGGCAAAGAGGAACUGCUGGCCACGAGUACGGGGUGUGGCCAUGAAUCCUGUGGAGCAUCCUUUUGGAGGUGGCAACCACCAGCACAUCGGCAAGCCCUCCACCAUCCGCAGAGAUGCCCCUGCUGGCCGCAAAGUGGGUCUCAUUGCUGCCCGCCGGACUGGACGUCUCCGGGGAACCAAGACUGUGCAGGAGAAAGAGAACUAGUGCUGAGGGCCUCAAUAAAGUUUGUGUUUAUGCCA
This 617-nucleotide small RNA is filed under the name Pan troglodytes (chimpanzee). Its description in RNAcentral is "processed transcript". Lineage: Eukaryota; Metazoa; Chordata; Mammalia; Primates; Hominidae. The record is from RNAcentral.